CCCAGAUCUAGGAUUUCCCUCGGAACAUCCCGAGCCUGAUGACACAAACUGCAACGACUAUGCCUUGACAAAGGAACGACAUCAAAGACGCGCCCAUCAUCCGCCAUGACCAUAGUGAGCGUGAUCUUCAUCGGUAGGUGCGCCAUCAGGCGUGCGCCGUCGGUGUCGUUGGUCCCUUCAAUAGGAGCAAAUUCCAAAACGAUGCCCUCAACGGGGACUACGACGUGAAGCACCGCCAACGCUUGAUCCCAAGAAGAUCUACGGUUUCUCCCGGAGUAGCCUGUGUUGUCAUCGACUAGACAAGGUAGAUUCCCGAUGGGUCCACCUAGUUGCCGACAUGUCACAUCCGCCACCGCAUCGACUGCAAUCCAAGGACCAAGGCCCACACCUGGGCCAGGUUCCGGUCAUGCCGCCGUCAACCGAUCUGGUCACGCCGUAGCCCUCCCUGACGACUGUGACGCAUCAGCCACCAAAGGUGGCCCCGCGCCGCCCAAGGCGUCGUUGGCCAGAUCUGGAACAGACCGACCACCGGCCACCACAGGAGCGCCGCGAGUGGCCCCUCACGCGACUACCAUGGGGCAUCUAGAUGAUGGAUGCAUCCAUUUUAUUAAUUAUUCACAAGGACUAUAGAAGGUAAUACAUAAGUCACUCUGAAGUCGUUAUCUAGGCAACACCUUUUGCUACUUGUAUUCCCUUGAUGAAGGUGUGUCAAAUGUCCGGACCUAAUACCAAAUAGACAUCACACCAAACUCUAACAUCCAUAACCAGAUGCCCCAACCCAACCACAUACCGGGACUGGGUCCCACACCGGUCCGACGCACUCUCGUUGUCGUCGCAAUCUUCCACCGGUCCAUCUUUAGAGCAGGAACUUAUGCAUCGACCUUGUCUGGCUUGCCGUCGAUGCCACCAUGGCAACAAAAAACGCCACCAUCCUCCACGUGUCUAUCCAUACGCGCUUGUCGCCGAAAUUCCGCAUCUCUGUGCCACCGUGAUCCACCUCCGGCCCUGCGGUAGAUGCAACACCGCUCCUCCUCUUGUCCCCUCCAGCCAUCACUUGCUCCAAAACGAUGCACCCGGGAGGAAAAGUUAUACUAACGCCAUCAUCGUUCGAUCAGGAAGACCCAGAUCUAGGAUUUCCCUCGGAGCAUCCCGAGCCUGAUGACACAAACUGCAACGACUAUGCCUUGACAAAGGAACAACAUCAAAGACGUGGCCAUCGUCCGCCAUGACCAUAGUGAGUGUGAUUUUCAUCGGUAGUUGCGCCAUCAGGCGUGCGCCGUCGGCGUCGUUGGUCCCUUCAAUAGGAGCAAACUCCAAAACGAUGCCCUCAACGGGGACUACGACGUGAAGCACCGCCAUGGCUUGAUCCCAAGAAGAUCUACGGUUUCUCCCGGAGUAGCCGUGCUGUCAUCGACCACACAAGGUAGAUUCCCGACGGGUCCACCU
Molecule: long non-coding RNA, 1446 nt
Filed under: Hordeum vulgare
Lineage: Eukaryota; Viridiplantae; Streptophyta; Magnoliopsida; Poales; Poaceae
Description: long non-coding RNA (HVUL_LNC007450)
Source: RNAcentral